AACGCGAAGAACCUUACCUGGGCUGAACUACGCGGGAAAAGCCGUAGAGAUACGGUGUCCGUAAGGGUCCGCGAUAGGUGGUGCAUGGCUGUCGUCAGCUCGUGUCGUGAGAUGUUGGGUUAAGUCCCGCAACGAGCGCAACCCUUGUCCUAUGUUGCCAGCGGGUAAUGCCGGGGACUCGUAGGAGACUGCCGGGGUCAACUCGGAGGAAGGUGGGGACGACGUCAAGUCAUCAUGCCCCUUAUGUCCAGGGCUGCACACAUGCUACAAUGGCCGGUACAAAGGGCUGCUAUUCCGCGAGGAUGAGCGAAUCCCAGAAAGCCGGUCUCAGUUCGGAUUGGAGUCUGCAACUCGACUCCAUGAAGUCGGAGUCGCUAGUAAUCCCGAAUCAGCAACGUCGGGGUGAAUACGUUCCCGGGCCUUGUACACACCGCUACAGU
RNAcentral lists this ribosomal RNA (440 nucleotides) under uncultured bacterium. Its description in RNAcentral is "bacterial SSU rRNA". It matches the Rfam family "Bacterial small subunit ribosomal RNA", at positions 958 to 1401 of the family's 1533-position model. The record is from RNAcentral.